RNAcentral lists this transfer RNA (73 nucleotides) under Chlorobiota bacterium. RNAcentral describes it as "tRNA-Ala". It matches the Rfam family "tRNA". Rfam says of the family: Transfer RNA (tRNA) molecules are approximately 80 nucleotides in length. Their secondary structure includes four short double-helical elements and three loops (D, anti-codon, and T loops). The record is from RNAcentral. RNAcentral also lists the same sequence under 1 other name. Lineage: Bacteria; Pseudomonadati; Chlorobiota.
GGGCUCGUAGCUCAGUUGGGAGAGCGCAGCGUUCGCAACGCUGAGGCCGAGAGUUCGAAUCUCUUCGAGUCCA